Long non-coding RNA from Glossina fuscipes, 860 nucleotides. RefSeq lists it as uncharacterized. The transcript has 4 exons. Lineage: Eukaryota; Metazoa; Arthropoda; Insecta; Diptera; Glossinidae. The record is from RefSeq and is a predicted model, not a curated record.
GAAGUAAUCUGCAGAUUUUCAGAACGGAAACAUAAACAUAUUGAAGAUAAUUAUAUCGAUUUUAUGCCAAAUCAUACUACCUCGGAUAUGUACAUUGAGGACGGAGAACAUUUAUUGCGCGAUACCGAACACUUAUUAAGCAAUGUGAGCAGCGAUACCCAUUUUGAUUGGGCCCGUUAUAAUCCCUUGAAAAUAUGGGAUUUUCUUUUGGAAAAUUGUCUUAUGCCAAUGGUAGUGAAAGUUUCAGCUGAAUUUUUGAAUGAUAAUGAAGAAUAUUCGCAACUUAAUAUUUCAUAUUUUCUUAAAGAGUUAAUGAAAAUUUAAAAGCCGUCUUAAAGGGAAGUUGUUGCUCGAUUGUUAGACAAAUAUAAAUGUUAAUGUACUUUCUGAACUUGUUUUUAGCAUUAUUGGUGGCCAAAUCAAGGAUCGCCUUUUAAAGCUAAUUGUUGAUAAAUGUUUAAUGGAUUCUGUACCAGCGACUAUGGAUGAAUAUCAUAAAUCGACACUAGUGCGGGAUGUUUUAAGAUUUGAGCAAACAUUGGUCGAUAAUUUCUUUAUUCAUCCCUUAUCUUUGGCAUACAGUGAACCUUCAUCUAUAUGCGUCGGUGGGCGGCGGCGCUGUUUCAAUCUAAAGUAAAAAAUGGCCGAUUUCCCAUAAUAAUCCAAUCAAUUGACUCUGUGAUGUUUUUGCCUGUUAGCAGCGUAAACAGCACGCAAAGUACGCACAAUAAGCGCAUUAUAAGCUUGAUCGAACGCCCAUGAAGAAGAUGAUAUCGCCCAACAGGAGGCCAAUCAAUUUACUAUGGAUUCUGAGGAAUCAACAGGACUGUAUCAAACGACUGUGCGUUUAGAAAUUAAAU